Small nuclear RNA from Heterocephalus glaber (naked mole-rat), 107 nucleotides. NCBI's taxonomy places the organism in Eukaryota, Metazoa, Chordata, Mammalia, Rodentia, Bathyergidae. The record is from Ensembl.
GUGCUUGCUCUGGCAGCACAUACACUAAAAUCAGAACGACACAGAGAACAUCAGCAUGGCCUCUGCGCAAGGAUGACAGGCAAAUUCGCAAAACAUUUCAUAUUUUU